RNAcentral lists this unclassified non-coding RNA (253 nucleotides) under uncultured Parcubacteria group bacterium. Its description in RNAcentral is "contains 16S-23S intergenic spacer region". It matches the Rfam family "Bacterial small subunit ribosomal RNA", at positions 524 to 776 of the family's 1533-position model. The record is from RNAcentral.
UACAGAGGCCCCAAGCGUUAUCCGGAAUCACUGGGCGUAAAGGGUGCGUAGGCGGUUGUAUUAGUCGAUAGUUAAAACCUGGGGCUCAACCUCAGGCCUGCUGUCGAAACGGUACAACUUGAGGAUGGGAGAGGUGUACGGAACUCAUGGUGUAGGGGUGAAAUCCGUUGAUAUCAUGAGGAACACCGAAGGCGAAGGCAGUACACUGGCCCACUCCUGACGCUGAGGCACGAAACCCUGGGGAGCGAAAGGG